This 966-nucleotide ribosomal RNA is filed under the name Pseudoalteromonas sp. RNAcentral's name for it is "bacterial SSU rRNA". It matches the Rfam family "Bacterial small subunit ribosomal RNA", at positions 74 to 1044 of the family's 1533-position model. The record is from RNAcentral. Lineage: Bacteria; Pseudomonadati; Pseudomonadota; Gammaproteobacteria; Alteromonadales; Pseudoalteromonadaceae.
GCUUGCUACUUUGCUGACGAGCGGCGGACGGGUGAGUAAUGCUUGGGAACAUGCCUUGAGGUGGGGGACAACAGUUGGAAACGACUGCUAAUACCGCAUAAUGUCUACGGACCAAAGGGGGCUUCGGCUCUCGCCUUUAGAUUGGCCCAAGUGGGAUUAGCUAGUUGGUGAGGUAAUGGCUCACCAAGGCGACGAUCCCUAGCUGGUUUGAGAGGAUGAUCAGCCACACUGGGACUGAGACACGGCCCAGACUCCUACGGGAGGCAGCAGUGGGGAAUAUUGCACAAUGGGCGCAAGCCUGAUGCAGCCAUGCCGCGUGUGUGAAGAAGGCCUUCGGGUUGUAAAGCACUUUCAGUCAGGAGGAAAGGUUAGUAGUUAAUACCUGCUAGCUGUGACGUUACUGACAGAAGAAGCACCGGCUAACUCCGUGCCAGCAGCCGCGGUAAUACGGAGGGUGCGAGCGUUAAUCGGAAUUACUGGGCGUAAAGCGUACGCAGGCGGUUUGUUAAGCGAGAUGUGAAAGCCCCGGGCUCAACCUGGGAACUGCAUUUCGAACUGGCAAACUAGAGUGUGAUAGAGGGUGGUAGAAUUUCAGGUGUAGCGGUGAAAUGCGUAGAGAUCUGAAGGAAUACCGAUGGCGAAGGCAGCCACCUGGGUCAACACUGACGCUCAUGUACGAAAGCGUGGGGAGCAAACGGGAUUAGAUACCCCGGUAGUCCACGCCGUAAACGAUGUCUACUAGAAGCUCGGAGCCUCGGUUCUGUUUUUCAAAGCUAACGCAUUAAGUAGACCGCCUGGGGAGUACGGCCGCAAGGUUAAAACUCAAAUGAAUUGACGGGGGCCCGCACAAGCGGUGGAGCAUGUGGUUUAAUUCGAUGCAACGCGAAGAACCUUACCUACACUUGACAUACAGAGAACUUACUAGAGAUAGUUUGGUGCCUUCGGGAACUCUGAUACAGGUGCUGC